ACUCCUACGGGAGGCAGCAGUGGGGAAUAUUGCACAAUGGGGGAAACCCUGAUGCAGCCAUGCCGCGUGUGUGAAGAAGGCCUUCGGUUGUAAGCACUUUCAGUAGGGAGGAAGGUAGUGUAGUUAACACCUGCACUAUUUGACGUUUACCUACAGAAGAAGCACCGGCUAACUCCGUGCCAGCAGCCGCGGUAAUACGGAGGGUGCGAGCGUUAAUCGGAAUUACUGGGCGUAAAGCGCAUGCAGGCGGCCUGUUAAGUCAGAUGUGAAAGCCCGGGGCUUAACCUCGGAAUUGCAUUUGAAACUGGCAGGCUAGAGUCUUGUAGAGGGGGGUAGGAAUUUCAGGUGUAGCGGUGAAAUGCGUAGAGAUCUG
Molecule: ribosomal RNA, 373 nt
Filed under: uncultured bacterium
Lineage: Bacteria
Description: bacterial SSU rRNA
Rfam family: Bacterial small subunit ribosomal RNA
Source: RNAcentral